RNAcentral lists this ribosomal RNA (395 nucleotides) under uncultured Planctomycetaceae bacterium. Its description in RNAcentral is "bacterial SSU rRNA". It matches the Rfam family "Bacterial small subunit ribosomal RNA", at positions 989 to 1382 of the family's 1533-position model. The record is from RNAcentral. Lineage: Bacteria; Pseudomonadati; Planctomycetota; Planctomycetia; Planctomycetales; Planctomycetaceae.
AGGUGAUCGCCGUUGAAGACGGUUCCUCUUCGGAGGCACCUCGCACAGGUGCUGCAUGGCUGUCGUCAGCUCGUGUCGUGAGAUGUUGGGUUAAGUCCCGCAACGAGCGCAACCCUUAUCCCCAGUUGCCAUCAGGUAAAGCUGGGAACGUCUGGGGAGACUGCCGGUGAUAAACCGGAGGAAGGCGGGGAUGACGUCAAGUCAGCAUGACCUUUAUAUCCAGGGCUACACACACGCUACAAUGGUCAGUACAAUGGGUUGCCAAGCCGCGAGGCGGAGCCAAUCCUAAAAAGCUGGCCUCAGUUCAGAUUGCAGUUUGAAACUCGACUGCAUGAAGUCGGAGUUGCUAGUAAACGCAGGUCAGCUAUACUGCGUUGAAUACGUUCCCGGGGCUU